RNAcentral lists this transfer RNA (71 nucleotides) under Endomicrobium sp. RNAcentral's name for it is "tRNA-Ala". It matches the Rfam family "tRNA". Rfam says of the family: Transfer RNA (tRNA) molecules are approximately 80 nucleotides in length. Their secondary structure includes four short double-helical elements and three loops (D, anti-codon, and T loops). Lineage: Bacteria; Pseudomonadati; Elusimicrobiota; Endomicrobiia; Endomicrobiales; Endomicrobiaceae. The record is from RNAcentral.
GGGGCCAUAGUUAAAUGGAAAAAUAUAUCGUUCGCAACGAUAAGAUGUGAGUUCAAUUCUCACUGGCUCCA